UCUGCACUGAACUCAUACAACUAAGCACAAAUAUCAGACUGUGUCUUCUAAAUAAUCUGCAGCAGGACCUCUGGCCACUGAAUAUUAGUGCUGUACAGGUAUGCGAAGAAAAACAAAGGCGGACAGCAGUUGGGCUCCAGCAGGCUGGCCCCGCCCCUCUCAGGCUGGCCCCGCCCCCUCUCAGCCCGACCGUUGCUGGGGCAGGUACAGAGAAAACCAGGAAGCACUGGUUGUAGUCUGUGAGCCGAAGGUAAAAAAGCCUCUGUCCUGUUUCAGAGGCUUUUUGCAAAGGAAUAAAUGAUGUUCCUGCAUAGAUAAUAUGGAGGGUACGGAGUGUUUCUUCAUUCUUAAAUACUACCCAACAUCAUUUGUAUCAGUAUCGCUUUAAGUUCACUUUUAUGUAUUUACUAAGAUAUAUCAAACCAAAGUAUAAUCACGUGAUUAAGUAUUCUUGGUUUAUACGUACAAGUAUAAAAAGAGGUUAAAUGUUUAUUGUCUAUAUUUGUAAUUAUAUUCAAGUAUACUUGACUUAAUCUGACAAGUAUACAGAAAAGUAUAAAUGUGUUAAAUGAAUGAGUUAUGUUUUAAAUGAAUGUGUGAAUGUGUAAGCCAGGAAUACUAUCAUAGCAAAUCCAUAAUGCAUGCAUGCAUAGCUUAAGUGAACCUGAGUUUGCACAAAGUCAAAGAUUUUGUACAUAAUUGGUGCGUGCAUUUUUAAAGUGUACUAAUAGUACCUACAGUAUCUAGAGGUUGGUUAGCUCAUGUGGUCAGACCAGUGUGUUGAUAAUGUUCAAUCCCAAUGUCCGUUCAGGUCUAUAACUGUGCAAGAAGAAUUAGGUGCCUCAUUAGGAGAGCACGGCUUGGGAAGCAGAAAAUUCCAGGUUAAAACAGAUACUUGCUCCCCCUGCUACACUAUAAACUACAGGUGUACUAAUAGUAGCCUGUAUUAAGUACACUAAUAGUUUAGUUGUUUAGUACAGUUAGUAGUCAAGAAGUACAUAAUUAGUACAUGCUAAAUAACGUUUAUUUAGAGUGAAUUUUAAUGCAGUAAAUAGUAGUAGUAAACGUGACUAAUUCUAUGCCUAAAGUUUACUAAUCAUACAUUUACAUUUAAAAUAUAAUUCAAGUGAACUUUUAAGGACUGAAAAGUGGGCAAACUUAGUCCCAAGAAGUAUUAAAAGAGUAAAAUUGUGGGGAUACAGAUUUACAUACAGUAAGUAUACUUAAUCUGUAACUAGCUAACAACAUUUGCAUCUCUGUCCAUCUUCAAUCCUUCUAAGUAGAGAUUUGAUAAGCAAAUCAGCAGAGACACAAUGUGGAAUGAAAUGCAGGUCAAGGACGCAGCAAACGUGUUUAUGUAUCUGAGGGGGAAACUACUGCAUCAGAUGUCACACAGUAAAAUACACUGUACAUGGUUACAGCCUGUCUAUUAGAGCCCACACAUUCAGUGCGUUGAACAGCAUCUGUAACAAGUCAGAACCUGAUGUGUAGAAUGACACUUGCUGAAACCUUCUCUGUGCAGGAAGCCAUGAAGACCCUACAACUUUACUAGAUUCUUUACCUGCCUUUACUCAGAAACAUCUUCUUUUAGUUAACUGAUUUGCUGCUGCCAUUGGAUGAUAAGGAUGCCAAAGUGUUACACACUGUUCAAUAAAGGUGAUCACCCAGUGUGAAUGGGUGGCUGCUCCUGAGAUCUUGUCUCACUCUAAUUCUGCAUUUUAAUGUUUGGAAACUUAAUCAAAACACUUUGAUUAAUUCCUGCAUUAGGAGAGUUAUCCUUAAUAGAAUUACAGAGGUGCUGGAGCAAGAGAGAAAUAACAAUGGCAACAUGCAGCAACACAUCUAGACUCUACUGCAAUAGAGUCAGUUUCUGUUGUACCUGUAUUAGUGAAAACCAUGCUAUCCUCAGGUACUUUAGGCUGUUUGUCUGAUCAUUACUGAUGGAAUAGUAUACAAUUUUCACAGCUCCACAUUGAUAGUGAAUGCUAGCAGAUAGAUAUUGAGAGAAGCCUAUAAAGUCCUGACCUGGGGCUUUAAACUUGUCAAUUUUAAACUUUAAGUCCUGACUCCCAAAGACACACAAAUUGUACUUAAAAUAUGUCUAUUUAUGUCAUAUCACAUUAAUUUGUUGUUCCCACAUUUUUAAGAUACAGUAUAUUUCAGGAAUAACAUUUUUGAAACACAUAAAAAUACUAAAUUCUGUUUAUCUUUAUUAUGAGUGUGAGUGGAGGAAAUCUUGAUGUCCAAACAUCUGUGUUGGAGGAGACAUUUGUCAUCAAGGAGUGUCUGUGUGACGGAUCUUACAUUUGUUUAAGCAGGGUGACUCAGAGCUUAAAGUGGCAAAUCUGGAUGUUGACUGGGGACAAACGUUUUCAUAAAGUCACUAGUUAUAACAGUAGAUCAGCCUAAAGACAAUACGUAUAGUUUAAUGUCAGCAUCUGCCAGAGCAGCAUGAAGACCAGCGGGCUGUUAUUUGGUGUCCUGUGUCUCUCAGGGUGUCUCAUUUUCUCUACAUGCUUCAUCCAUAAGUAUCACUUCAUCAACAUCAACUCAACUUGGAAUCAAGCUCAGACCUACUGCAGAACCAAUUACAUAGACCUGGCCACGAUUAACAACAUUACAGAAGUAAAUCAGUUUAUCAGCACAGUUUCGUCUGCUGGUUACAAUUCUAAGGCUUGGAUUGGACUUUAUAUCAAGCUUUAUGGUAAUUGGACAUAUGCAUACUCAGCUCAAUAUUUACACUGGAGGACGCCACAAGGAAGCACGAUAUUCAUACAGGAGACCUGGUGUGGGUACAUCAGUUCAAAUACAUUGUGGUAUGCAAACUGCACAGCAGAGCAUCCAUUUAUGAUAAUGGUAAGGACAGGAUUUUUGAACUCAAUAUAGAGCCACUCUUUCAUGUUAUAUCUGUUUGUUAUUUUACAAAGUUCCAACAGUGUGAAGUGAAAGGUUUUGAUUAACUUAACAUUAUUUUCACACUAACUGCAGGGACCCAGAAGACUUUAGUUAAUGUACCAAUGGAUUAUUUGAACGCUUGGAGCUACUGUAAAGGAAACCUUACAGACCUAACGUCACCAUUUGCCUCAUCAGUUAAUGUAUGGCUCACUAAUGUAAUGGCUUUGGUCCCAAGUGGACAACAAGUGUGGUUCGGGUGGAUUGGCUUUAAACAUAUCUUCUGGUCCGAUUUAAGCCCUGUCUCGUUCAAUUACUGGAACGAGUUGCCACAAUUAUUUGAUAACAUGGCUGUGCUGCGAGGUGCUGCAGAUUUGCAGAGCUCUGGAAUAUGGAGCUUUCUGCCUACUAAGUUGCUACCAUUUGUCUGCUACACGGAGCAAGUUCCAGAGGACACUAUAAAAGUGCUUAAGCUGAGGGUAAGCUCCUCUACAGAUGUCAAUGACUUUGCUGUGGAAGCAAACAUUCUGUCACAGCUCCAGAUGAAAUUUAUGAAACAAGGACUGAGUGGAGGUUCCCUGAAGUGGAGAAAACAGCCUGAUGGGAAAAUCUUCCUAAAGAAGGGAAACAGUGGCAUCUCAUACAAACAUGAAUGUCAGGUUAACUGUUAACAUAUCAUAGACCUAUUUGUAGAUAUCAUGUACGUUAGUGAAAGUGCAUUUUUCUUCAGACAGAACUGAAAAAUACGACUUUUUUGUUAUUCGUAAGCAUUGCAUCAGUAAAACUAACACUAAUAAAAUACCUCAAAUCACAGCACAGUGUCCCCUACAUUAUGGCACUAUAUGAAGUUGAAAAGACUUUGUGAUUGCAGAGAUAAAUUCAUUUGACUGUAGCUAUGCCAUUUUCCAGAAAACCCUCAGAAAAAAGUCAUGGGGCUGAAAAGGCUAGCAGAGCUAUUGUUUCACUUGGUUUUUUUUUAUUAUUCAUCCUUCAUCAUCUAUCUAUUUAGUUGUAUGAAAAACUCUUGGUACUAUGGUACUUCACUAUGCUGAAGACAUGUUGUAUUUGGUCGUAUUCACUUUUUAAUUAGCAAAAGCAGCU
Betta splendens (Siamese fighting fish) is the source of this 3993-nucleotide long non-coding RNA. RefSeq lists it as uncharacterized. The transcript has 4 exons. The record is from RefSeq and is a predicted model, not a curated record. Lineage: Eukaryota; Metazoa; Chordata; Actinopteri; Anabantiformes; Osphronemidae.